Molecule: long non-coding RNA, 206 nt
Organism: Trifolium pratense (red clover)
Lineage: Eukaryota; Viridiplantae; Streptophyta; Magnoliopsida; Fabales; Fabaceae
Exons: 3
Source: RefSeq, a predicted model, not a curated record
AAGACGGUGUGAAGAACUGAUUACGCAAGUUCCAGAAUCUACAAGGCCGCUUUUAAGGCAAAUUGAAGCCAUGCAGGAAACAAAUGCCAGAAGAGCCGAAGCUUGGGCUGCUGUUGAAAGAAGUCUUAAUUCUCGACUUCAGGAAGCUGAGGCUAAAGCUGCAACUGCUGAGGAAAGAGAGCGAUCUGUGAAUGAUCGCUUAUCUC